GGGGAUGUAGCUCAUAUGGUAGAGCGCUCGCUUAGCAUGCGAGAGGUACUGGUAACAUUUCUU
This 63-nucleotide transfer RNA is filed under the name Phaseolus vulgaris (common bean). It matches the Rfam family "tRNA". From Rfam's summary of the family: Transfer RNA (tRNA) molecules are approximately 80 nucleotides in length. Their secondary structure includes four short double-helical elements and three loops (D, anti-codon, and T loops). Further hydrogen bonds mediate the characteristic L-shaped molecular structure. tRNAs have two regions of fundamental functional importance: the anti-codon, which is responsible for specific mRNA codon recognition, and the 3' end, to which the tRNAs corresponding amino acid is attached (by aminoacyl-tRNA synthetases). tRNAs cope with the degeneracy of the genetic code in two manners: having more than one tRNA (with a specific anti-codon) for a particular amino acid; and 'wobble' base-pairing, i.e. permitting non-standard base-pairing at the 3rd anti-codon position. Lineage: Eukaryota; Viridiplantae; Streptophyta; Magnoliopsida; Fabales; Fabaceae. The record is from Rfam by way of RNAcentral.